RNAcentral lists this ribosomal RNA (219 nucleotides) under uncultured bacterium. RNAcentral's name for it is "partial 16S ribosomal RNA". It matches the Rfam family "Bacterial small subunit ribosomal RNA", at positions 100 to 334 of the family's 1533-position model. The record is from RNAcentral.
CGGCACGGGUGCGUAACGCGUGGGAAUCUGCCCCUUGGUUCGGAAUAACAGUUAGAAAUGACUGCUAAUACCGGAUGAUGUCUUCGGACCAAAGAUUUAUCGCCAAGGGAUGAGCCCGCGUAGGAUUAGCUAGUUGGUGAGGUAAAAGCUCACCAAGGCGACGAUCAGUAGCUGGUCUGAGAGGAUGAUCAGCCACAUUGGGACUGAGACACGGCCCAA